Molecule: ribosomal RNA, 257 nt
Filed under: uncultured bacterium
Lineage: Bacteria
Description: partial 16S ribosomal RNA
Rfam family: Bacterial small subunit ribosomal RNA
Source: RNAcentral
UACGUAGGGGGGCAAGCGUUGUCCGGAUUUAUUGGGCGUAAAGAGCGUGUAGGCGGUUUGGUAGGUCCGUUGUGAAAACUCGAGGCUCAACCUCGAGACGCCGGCGGAAACCAUCAGGCUAGAGUCCGGAAGAAGGAGAGUGGAAUUCCUGGUGUAGCGGUGAAAUGCGCAGAUAUCAGGAGGAACACCGGGUGGCGAAGGCGGGGUCUCUGGGCUGUAACUGACGCUGGAGGAGCGAAAGCAUGGGGAGCGAACGG